CAGCAGCCGCGGUGAUACGUAGGGUCCGAACGUUGUCCGGAAUUAUUGGGCGUAAAGGGCUCGUAGGCGGUUUGUUGCGUCGGGAGUGAAAACCCAGGGCUUAACUUUGGGCUUGCUUUCGAUACGGGCAGACUUGAGGCAUUGAGGGGAGAACGGAAUUCCUGGUGUAGCGGUGAAAUGCGCAGAUAUCAGGAGGAACACCGGUGGCGAAGGCGGUUCUCUGGCAAUGUUCCGACGCUGAGGAGCGAAAGUGUGGGGAGCGAACAGGAUUAGAUACCCGCGUAGUCCCUGUCUCUUAUAC
This 301-nucleotide ribosomal RNA is filed under the name uncultured bacterium. RNAcentral describes it as "partial 16S ribosomal RNA". It matches the Rfam family "Bacterial small subunit ribosomal RNA", at positions 509 to 807 of the family's 1533-position model. The record is from RNAcentral.